RNA transcript from Nymphaea colorata (pocket water lily), 2444 nucleotides. RefSeq lists it as uncharacterized. The record is from RefSeq and is a predicted model, not a curated record. NCBI's taxonomy places the organism in Eukaryota, Viridiplantae, Streptophyta, Magnoliopsida, Nymphaeales, Nymphaeaceae. The transcript has 3 exons.
UUCGUUCGUUUUUUCUUUCCUUGAAAUGAUCAACGGGAGGGAGGGGGAUCACGAAUCUGCCAUUUUCGUAAAAUUGAAGUAAGCCCGAAUGUACAAGAUAUGCUUCCGUUACGUAGGACUCCGUUUCCCAAGAAGGCCAGGUCUCUGCAAGGCAGACGCACUGAUCACUGAUCAGCGUGCAGACAAAGAUUGGCAUUUACGCAGAAAGAACGGCGUCAAUUUAUGAUGCUCAAUUUAGGGAGAGAGCGAGAGAAUUGGAUUUCAAGUGGGAGAAAAGUAGGUGAAAUUUGUCAGUGAGAUGAGCGAGGCAGAAAACUGCACAAAAUAAUGCCUUACAUGAUCGAGAGGGAGAGAGGGAGAAAGCCGAUCUCCUGCCAGAGAAGAACUCUGUGACAUUUUUCAGGAAAGUGAAAACAGGAGAUGCGUAGAAAGAAUAAGAUUGUGAUGAGAGAGAGAGAGAGAGGGGUAAGGCUAUGUGUGUAAGAAGGCGCUUUCUUGGAGUGUCAUGCACGCCAGAUGUUGAUUCCCGUUCCUUGCGGCACGUCCUCACCCACCCCUCCGUUUCCCCUUAAACGGCACGGGAAGCUCUUUGUGAGUUCGGUUGGGAUCCGACUUUGAGUACCCUCCAUCCCCACCUCCACCCUUUCCCUCUGAACAGGUUGGGGUUGCAAGAGAUGAACCAACCGAACAGCUUCUCUGGCAACAAAUGGUGGCUGCAGGCUGAUUCAGGACAUCGCGAGAGGAUGACUUCAGUGGUGCCCAAUACAAACUUCUCGCCCAGCUCUUCUCCUGUGGUUCAGAAGGGCCUGCCGAGGAAGCCUGAUCCUUUGGGUCUCGAAGGGAGAGAGGGGUGUGAAAUUGUUUCCGAGAACAAAGGGGAAGUGCCACUUGAUGAGAGGUAUGGAAGGUCUCGGUGGUACUUGGCAGAGGAAAAGGAAUUGGCCCUCAUGAUUGCAGAUAGGCAGUCAGAGCCUCUUCAGAAUUGUGACCUUCCGACUCCAUAUCAGAGGAGAAGUCUGAAGAAUUCCCUGGAGGGAGAGAGGAACAAGCCUGUUGCACCAACAAAAUCUGUUUCGUCUGAUUAUGACUAUUCUCUGUUACAGAGCAUUGGAGGCAGAAUUACCGAAACUUCAGAAUGUACGACUGAGCAUCCUGACAAGAAACUUGAUUUGCUGAAAGCACUUCAACUCUCACAGACGCGCGCAAGGGUAGCAGAGAGAAAAGCUAGUAUUAUGAGCAUGGAAAACGAAAAUCUACUGAACUUGUAUUUCAAAGGUUCUGCUCGGAUCUUUGCUUACCGGCAAUGGGUGAAGCUACUUGAACUGGAGAUCUUGCAGCUACAAUCGCAGGGUGCGGUUUCUCAGUCCAAUGGUAGUUCCGAUUGCUCUGAAAUGUCCUCUGAUAUAAACGGCAAAAAGAAUCAAGUCGACAAUUAUUCUAACAGGGCAUGGUAUUGGGCUGUUACUCUCUGCUUGAGUUUGGCAAGUGUAGGCGUUGUACUAACAUGGAGAAGAGGAUGGCGAUUGAGUGGCCUCCGUGGUGAUGAACUGCCAAGACUUGGCGUUCGGCUAUAUCCUUCUGCCGGGUUUGUUAGAGUUUGAAGCUGUUGACACAUAGUCUACUGUUUGGUUGGUUACCUGUGUGGUAUCUGAAAUGUAACCAGGUCUUUUCGCUCUGUCUGCAGCCCAAAUACAGGAAACUGGGUUUUCAUUCACAGGCAUCCAUUUCUCCAGUGUGCAAUUCCAAGCAAGUGGUGCCGUCUUAUUCCUGAUCCUGCUUCAAAUAUUAUCCGAAAACUUCUAAUUGGGAUCUUACAAAAUUAUUGUUAUUUUCUGCGCUGCAAGUUGAUUAUAGAAGCACACUGAUUUUUCCUUUCUCAUUGUUGUUCGUCUCUGGUUACAGCCAUAAAUUUGAUGCUAAUUCUUGAGGUUAUUCACUUUUGGGCUUGCCUGUGCCUGUUGAGUCAUGGUUUAUGCUCAUUCGGAGCUUCCCGUAUUGCAGUCGAAUGCAAGAUUGAAUUAAUCGGGAAACAUGAAUAACAUUUUAAACGGCAUGCUUUAUGCAAGCAUGGACAUAGUUCUCUUGUCAAGAUUGUCUUUUUAGGAAAUCUUUGCAAGUUGCAGCAGCCGGAGGUACAGCAAAAUUAUGGGAAGAUGAUUUCACACCUCUUGAGUUCUUCAUUUUAUGUGCCUUGAAGCUUCCAGGAAGCAAUUUUAGUUACUUGGGGCUCAAUACCCAAUAGCAAGGUCCCUUCCUAAGGCUGAAAAUUAGGCAUCCGGUAGUUGAGCUUCAUAACAAACUGCCUCAAAUCUACAGAUGAAGUGGAGCUUAAUGGAAUGGAUUGACUAGCGCAGUUUUUAUUUUUGAUGUAGAUGUGAAAAUGGAAGAACUUCUGCCGGAAUCAGUCAAUGAAAGUCCUCCUUUUGAAGCCUGAAGGUAUUUGA